RNAcentral lists this ribosomal RNA (253 nucleotides) under uncultured bacterium. RNAcentral's name for it is "partial 16S ribosomal RNA". It matches the Rfam family "Bacterial small subunit ribosomal RNA", at positions 524 to 776 of the family's 1533-position model. The record is from RNAcentral.
UACGUAGGGUCCGAGCGUUGUCCGGAUUUAUUGGGCGUAAAGAGCGUGUAGGCGGCCAGGUAGGUCUGCUGUGAAAACUCGAGGCUCAACCUCGAGACGUCGGCGGAAACCAUCUGGCUAGAGUCCGGAAGAGGAGAGUGGAAUUCCUGGUGUAGCGGUGAAAUGCGCAGAUAUCAGGAAGAACACCCGUGGCGAAGGCGGCUCUCUGGGACGGUACUGACGCUGAGGAGCGAAAGCGUGGGGAGCGAACAGG